This is a long non-coding RNA of Gasterosteus aculeatus aculeatus (three-spined stickleback), 321 nucleotides long. The record is from Ensembl. NCBI's taxonomy places the organism in Eukaryota, Metazoa, Chordata, Actinopteri, Perciformes, Gasterosteidae.
CUCCGCCCCCCUCCCACACAGCCAUUCACCACACACUUGUGCCCGCAUGAAGUGACUCGUCUGCAGGGACAAAGCGGUGCAGGUGCUCCAUCACCGUGGGACCGUGUAUUGCAGAUUCCACGUCGCUGCUGUCACAGUAAUGGAGACUAUUGUGUGUCUAAUGUCAGUCCCCGCGUCCCGAAGACACAUAUUCAUUGAAACCACGCGGAGGAGGUUUACAGGUGGCCAGUUUCUGUGAGUCUGAACCUCUGCUGGAGGUUUGACUGAUUUCAAUACUCUGCUCACUUUAUUUCAUUAGGUUUUCCCCAUUUUCCAUCCACG